GACGAACGCUGGCGGCGUGCCUAAUACAUGCAAGUCGAGCGGACUUUCAAGAAGCUUGCUUUUUGAAAGUUAGCGGCGGACGGGUGAGUAACACGUGGGCAACCUGCCUGCAAGGCGGGGAUAACUCCGGGAAACCGGGGCUAAUACCGGAUAAUAUCUUCCUUCGCAUGAAGGAAGGUUGAAAGGCGGCGCAAGCUGCCGCUUGCAGAUGGGCCCGCGGCGCAUUAGCUAGUUGGUGAGGUAACGGCUCACCAAGGCGACGAUGCGUAGCCGACCUGAGAGGGUGAUCGGCCACACUGGGACUGAGACACGGCCCAGACUCCUACGGGAGGCAGCAGUAGGGAAUCUUCCGUAAUGGACGAAAGUCUGACGGAGCAACGCCGCGUGAGCGAAGAAGGUCUUCGGAUCGUAAAGCUCUGUUGUCAGGGAAGAACAAGUACCGUUCGAACAGGGCGGUACCUUGACGGUACCUGACCAGAAAGCCACGGCUAACUACGU
RNAcentral lists this ribosomal RNA (498 nucleotides) under uncultured bacterium. RNAcentral describes it as "partial 16S ribosomal RNA". It matches the Rfam family "Bacterial small subunit ribosomal RNA", at positions 28 to 506 of the family's 1533-position model. The record is from RNAcentral.